RNAcentral lists this ribosomal RNA (867 nucleotides) under cf. Phialocephala sp. AU_BD15. RNAcentral's name for it is "eukaryotic LSU rRNA". It matches the Rfam family "Eukaryotic large subunit ribosomal RNA", at positions 48 to 942 of the family's 3401-position model. The record is from RNAcentral. Lineage: Eukaryota; Fungi; Ascomycota; Leotiomycetes; Helotiales; Mollisiaceae.
AAGCGGAGGAAAAGAAACCAACAGGGAUUACCUCAGUAACGGCGAGUGAAGCGGUAAUAGCUCAAAUUUGAAAGCUGCCAACAGGCCGCGUUGUAAUUUGUAGAAGAUGCUUUGGGGAUCGGCCUGGUCUAAGUUCCUUGGAACAGGACGUCAUAGAGGGUGAGAAUCCCGUACGUGACCGGUGCCGGCACUCGUGUAAAGCUCUUUCGACGAGUCGAGUUGUUUGGGAAUGCAGCUCAAAAUGGGUGGUAAAUUUCAUCUAAAGCUAAAUAUUGGCCAGAGACCGAUAGCGCACAAGUAGAGUGAUCGAAAGAUGAAAAGCACUUUGGAAAGAGAGUUAAACAGUACGUGAAAUUGUUGAAAGGGAAGCGCUUGCAACCAGACUUGCGGGCGGUCGAUCAUCCGAGGUUCUCCCCGGUGCACUCGAUCGUUCUCAGGCCAGCAUCGGUUUUGGUGGUGGGAUAAAGGCGUUGGGAAUGUGGCUCUUCGGAGUGUUAUAGCCCAGCGUGCAAUGCCGCCUACCGGGACCGAGGACCGCGCUUCGGCUAGGAUGCUGGCGUAAUGGUUGUAAGCGACCCGUCUUGAAACACGGACCAAGGAGUCUAACAUCUAUGCGAGUGUUUGGGUGUCAAACCCAUACGCGUAAUGAAAGUGAACGGAGGUGAGAGCCCUUUAGGGUGCAUCAUCGACCGAUCCUGAUGUCUUCGGAUGGAUUUGAGUAAGAGCAUAGCUGUUGGGACCCGAAAGAUGGUGAACUAUGCGUGAAUAGGGUGAAGCCAGAGGAAACUCUGGUGGAGGCUCGCAGCGGUUCUGACGUGCAAAUCGAUCGUCAAAUUUGCGUAUAGGGGCGAAAGACUAAUCGAACCA